This 103-nucleotide small nucleolar RNA is filed under the name Coccomyxa subellipsoidea C-169. RNAcentral describes it as "Small nucleolar RNA snR60/Z15/Z230/Z193/J17". It matches the Rfam family "Small nucleolar RNA snR60/Z15/Z230/Z193/J17". Rfam says of the family: The members of this family belong to the C/D class of snoRNAs which contain the C (UGAUGA) and D (CUGA) box motifs. Lineage: Eukaryota; Viridiplantae; Chlorophyta; Trebouxiophyceae; Coccomyxaceae. The record is from Rfam by way of RNAcentral.
GGAAGGCAGAUGAUGAGUCAAUACACGCAUAGUUCAUAUGAGACGGCAAAAGCCGCUGUGAAGAUACCUAGCAAAAGUCUUUCGCUCCUAACUGAUGCCUUCC